GAUGAACGCUGGCGGCGUGCCUAAUACAUGCAAGUCGAGCGAACAGACGAGGAGCUUGCUCCUCUGACGUUAGCGGCGGACGGGUGAGUAACACGUGGAUAACCUACCUAUAAGACUGGGAUAACUUCGGGAAACCGGAGCUAAUACCGGAUAAUAUAUUGAACCGCAUGGUUCAAUAGUGAAAGACGGUUUUGCUGUCACUUAUAGAUGGAUCCGCGCCGCAUUAGCUAGUUGGUAAGGUAACGGCUUACCAAGGCAACGAUGCGUAGCCGACCUGAGAGUGUGAUCGGCCACCCUGGAACUGAGCCACGGUCCAGACUCCUACGGGAGGCAGCAGUAGGGAAUCUUCCGCAAUGGGCGAAAGCUUGACGGAGCAACGCCGCGUGAGUGAUGAAGGUCUUCGGAUCGUAAAACUCUGUUAUUAGGGAAGAACAAAUGUGUAAGUAACUAUGCACGUCUUGACGGUACCUAAUCAGAAAGCCACGGCUAACUACGUG
RNAcentral lists this ribosomal RNA (497 nucleotides) under uncultured bacterium. Its description in RNAcentral is "partial 16S ribosomal RNA". It matches the Rfam family "Bacterial small subunit ribosomal RNA", at positions 28 to 507 of the family's 1533-position model. The record is from RNAcentral.